This 1120-nucleotide long non-coding RNA is filed under the name Heterocephalus glaber (naked mole-rat). RNAcentral describes it as "lncRNA (ENSHGLG00100034859.1)". The record is from RNAcentral. Lineage: Eukaryota; Metazoa; Chordata; Mammalia; Rodentia; Bathyergidae.
AGAACCGAAAGCUGAGGUGGCAAAGUUCCUGACUGGGUGACAGGAAGAGGUCGGUGGGUCUGGUUGAGCCCUUGUUUCCAGAAAGGAGAUUAGGAAAACGAAAAAAAGGUUCUUGCAUACCAACAUCCCCUCCGCCACCUCUCCUGCUCCACGUCCUUCCUUUCGGGAGGAGGGGAACAAAAAAAAAAGGGUAUGUUAAAAAAAAAAUUUUUUUUUUUUAAAAAAGGGUAUGUUCAAGAUGACCUUUUAUGUAUUUAUUUGGUUUUGUUUUAUGUUUUUGUUUUUGGUACCGGGGGAUCGAACUCAGGACCUUGUGCUCGUGAGGCAGACCCGGUGCCACUGAGCUAAAUCCCCGGCCCUCAUCUGGGUUUUUUGAGACAGUCUCACUAGUACGCUGUUCACUGGCCUUGAACUCACUGUGUGGCCCGCACAGUCCUGGAACUCGUGUUCCUUCUUCCUCAGCCUCCCAGGUGGACUGGACACUUAUACAUCCUGGGCUCUGAUUGAGCACUGUACUACUGUACACCAUCGCACUGUACAGUAAGAACACAGCACCACAACUGUGACAACAUCUGGCAGACAUGGGAGCUAUUUCCACAGUUCUACGUAUAGAUUUCUGGGCCUCCAGCUUUAUUCAGAAGGCUAUUUACUCCUCACCUUAAACAUGCCCUGGACUUUAACUUCCAUGCUGAAUGAAGAAGCUAAAAGGUCUUAAAAGCAAAGAUUCACAUUCUUUAAGAUUUAGUACAAAUACUGGGCAUGGUGGCCCAUGCCUGUAAUCCCAGCAUUUGGGAGGCUGAAGCAGGAGGAUUGCUGUGAGUUCGAGGCCAGUUUUGAAAAGUCUACAUAGUGAGGCCUUUCUCAAAAAAAAAAAAAAUUAGUAGAAACCUUCAGUGCAAAUACUGGCAUUAGCACAUUCUUAAUUUUCAGGAUCUCUGAGUUCACUUUGUUUAGAGGCUUCUGCAAAAUUAUUAUUUUCCUACUGCUCAGUAAUGCAUUUUAAAUUACUUUAUAUCCCUUACUGUGUUUAGUUUGGAGGGUUAUUCAGGGUAUCUAAUUGACAACACUGUCUGAAACAGAAUUCUGCAUUUGCUUAACCUAUGACAUAAAGAUGUUGACC